GGUCAAGUGAAGAAGCGCAUACGGUGGAUGCCUUGGCAGUCAGAGGCGAUGAAAGACGUGGUAGCCUGCGAAAAGCUUCGGGGAGUCGGCAAACAGACUUUGAUCCGGAGAUCUCUGAAUGGGGGAACCCACCUAGGAUAACCUAGGUAUCUUGUACUGAAUCCAUAGGUGCAAGAGGCGAACCAGGGGAACUGAAACAUCUAAGUACCCUGAGGAAAAGAAAUCAACCGAGAUUCCCUUAGUAGUGGCGAGCGAACGGGGAUUAGCCCUUAAGCUUCAUUGAUUUUAGCGGAACGCUCUGGAAAGUGCGGCCAUAGUGGGUGAUAGCCCCGUACGCGAAAGGAUCUUUGAAGUGAAAUCGAGUAGGACGGAGCACGAGAAACUUUGUCUGAACAUGGGGGGACCAUCCUCCAAGGCUAAAUACUACUGACUGACCGAUAGUGAACCAGUACCGUGAGGGAAAGGCGAAAAGAACCCCGGAGAGGGGAGUGAAAUAGAACCUGAAACCGUAUGCGUACAAGCAGUGGGAGCCUACUUGUUAGGUGACUGCGUACCUUUUGUAUAAUGGGUCAGCGACUUAUAUUCAGUGGCAAGCUUAACCGUAUAGGGUAGGCGUAGCGAAAGCGAGUCUUAAUAGGGCGUUUAGUCGCUGGGUAUAGACCCGAAACCGGGCGAUCUAUCCAUGAGCAGGUUGAAGGUUAGGUAACACUGACUGGAGGACCGAACCCACUCCCGUUGAAAAGGUAGGGGAUGACUUGUGGAUCGGAGUGAAAGGCU
This 777-nucleotide ribosomal RNA is filed under the name Pseudomonas aeruginosa. RNAcentral's name for it is "partial 23S ribosomal RNA". It matches the Rfam family "Bacterial large subunit ribosomal RNA", at positions 1 to 830 of the family's 2925-position model. The record is from RNAcentral. Lineage: Bacteria; Pseudomonadati; Pseudomonadota; Gammaproteobacteria; Pseudomonadales; Pseudomonadaceae.